ACGAACGCUGGCGGCGUGCUUAACACAUGCAAGUCGAGCGGAAAGGCCCUUCGGGGUACUCGAGCGGCGAACGGGUGAGUAACACGUGAGCAACCUGCCUUUGACUUUGGGAUAACCCUCGGAAACGGGGGCUAAUACCGGAUAUUACCUGGGGGGGCAUUCUUCUGGGUGGAAAGCUUUUGCGGUCAAAGAUGGGCUCGCGGCCUAUCAGCUUGUUGGUGGGGUGAUGGCCUACCAAGGCGGCGACGGGUAGCCG
RNAcentral lists this ribosomal RNA (256 nucleotides) under Micromonosporaceae bacterium ISO956_OTU1259. Its description in RNAcentral is "partial 16S ribosomal RNA". It matches the Rfam family "Bacterial small subunit ribosomal RNA", at positions 29 to 289 of the family's 1533-position model. The record is from RNAcentral. Lineage: Bacteria; Bacillati; Actinomycetota; Actinomycetes; Micromonosporales; Micromonosporaceae.